RNAcentral lists this non-coding RNA (22 nucleotides) under Arabidopsis thaliana (thale cress). Lineage: Eukaryota; Viridiplantae; Streptophyta; Magnoliopsida; Brassicales; Brassicaceae. The record is from RNAcentral.
CAUUUCGCAAGAUAAUCUGCUC